This 202-nucleotide unclassified non-coding RNA is filed under the name Hevea brasiliensis (rubber tree). The record is from RNAcentral. Lineage: Eukaryota; Viridiplantae; Streptophyta; Magnoliopsida; Malpighiales; Euphorbiaceae.
AAAAUAUGGGUGGUUAAUAAAGAAAUAAAUUAGUAAAUUUUAUUUAGUGAUUAGGGAAAUGAGUUUUAUAUUUAUUAGAUUAAUAAAAUUUUUAAGUUUUAUAGUGUUAAGUGUUGGCGAGAUAGUGAAGUAGAAUUUGUUGGUGGGAGUUUAAGUGGUUUAAUUAUUUUGGUAAAAAAAAUUGGUAAUAAGUAGAAAAGAG